This 376-nucleotide transfer-messenger RNA is filed under the name Neglectibacter timonensis. It matches the Rfam family "transfer-messenger RNA". From Rfam's summary of the family: Bacterial tmRNA, also known as 10Sa RNA or SsrA, is named for its dual tRNA and mRNA-like properties. Lineage: Bacteria; Bacillati; Bacillota; Clostridia; Eubacteriales; Oscillospiraceae. The record is from RNAcentral. RNAcentral also lists the same sequence under 3 other names.
GGGGAUGUAAAGGUUUCGACGGGGGACGAAAGCCCUGGUAAGCGAGCAGCGGGGCGGACCGCUUUAAAACCGCACGUUUAAAAUUAAACGACAAAACUUCUAACAAAACCACCAAUAUUAACUUUAAUAUGGCGGUUGCUGCCUAACUAAAAGGCAGUCGUCUUCCCCGGGAGUACCGCGGCCCGGGGUUAGGCGUAACCUAGCGGUGAACGUGAACAGGGCGACGCCUUUAACCCUGUCAUGACGAAAAGGCUACCAAGACCUGAAGCCUGCUUUUGGGCGCCGGGUUAAGGGAAUGUUAAACCAAAAGCUACGCUCGUAGAAAGCCUUGGUAAUCAUCUUUCGGACGCGGGUUCGAUUCCCGCCAUCUCCACCA